Molecule: ribosomal RNA, 373 nt
Filed under: uncultured bacterium
Lineage: Bacteria
Description: bacterial SSU rRNA
Rfam family: Bacterial small subunit ribosomal RNA
Source: RNAcentral
ACAUAGGGUGCAAGCGUUGUCCGGAAUUAUUGGGCGUAAAGAGCUCGUAGGUGGUUUGAUACGUCGGGUGUGAAAUUCAGGGGCUCAACCCCUGACCUGCAUUCGAUACGGUCAAGCUAGAGUUUGGUAGGGGAGACUGGAAUUCCUGGUGUAGCGGUGGAAUGCGCAGAUAUCAGGAGGAACACCGAUGGCGAAGGCAGGUCUCUGGGCCAAUACUGACACUGAGGAGCGAAAGCGUGGGGAGCGAACAGGAUUAGAUACCCUGGUAGUCCACGCCGUAAACGAUGGGCGCUAGUUGUGCGAACCUUCCACGGUUUGUGCGACGCAGCUAACGCAUUAAGCGCCCCGCCUGGGGAGUACGAUCGCAAGAUUA